RNAcentral lists this ribosomal RNA (253 nucleotides) under uncultured bacterium. RNAcentral describes it as "partial 16S ribosomal RNA". It matches the Rfam family "Bacterial small subunit ribosomal RNA", at positions 524 to 776 of the family's 1533-position model. The record is from RNAcentral.
UACGUAGGGGGCAAGCGUUGUCCGGAAUCAUUGGGCGUAAAGCGCGCGUAGGCGGCCCGGUAAGUCCGUUGUGAAAGUCAAAGGCUCAACCUUUGAAUGCCGAUGGAUACUGCCGGGCUAGAGUCCAGAAGAGGCGAGUGGAAUUCCUGGUGUAGCGGUGGAAUGCGCAGAUAUCAGGAGGAACACCGAUAGCGAAGGCAGCUCGCUGGGACGGUACUGACGCUGAGGCGCGAAAGCGUGGGGAGCGAACAGG